RNAcentral lists this long non-coding RNA (1929 nucleotides) under Homo sapiens (human). Its description in RNAcentral is "HSALNT0323805". Lineage: Eukaryota; Metazoa; Chordata; Mammalia; Primates; Hominidae. The record is from RNAcentral.
UUUUGUUAGGUUUUGCCAUGUAUAUUUUAAACUACCAUUGCAUACACACAAAUUUAGAAUUGUAAUGUCUUUCUGUUGAAUUCAUACAUUUAUCAUAAUGAAAUAUGCCUACGUAUUUCUUAUACUAUUUCUCACCAUAAACACUACUUUAUCUGGUAUCUGGUAUCGUUACACAAGAUUGGUUAAUAUUUUGCAUAAUAUGGAAUUCUCCAUUGUCAGUUAUUGCUUUCAGAACUUGAAAAAUGUGAUUCCUUUUCCUUCUUUCUUUCAUUGCUUCUGCUAAAAAAACAGCUGCCACUCUUUUUUUCUUUCUUUCUCUCUGUUAAGGGAAAUUUUUUUUUUCCGGCUGCUAUGAAGAUUUUAUUUUUCUCUUUAGUUCAGCUAUUUUAUAUGAUGCAUUUACAUGUGAUUUUCUUUGUAUUUCUUCUAAUUGGGGUCCAUCAUGCUUCUUGCAUUGUAUAUUUGAUGUCUAUGCCUAUCUUGGUAAAUUUGCAGGAAAUAUUAUGUCAAAUAUUGCUUCUGCCCUAGUCUUCUUACUCUGGAACUCAAAUUACAUUUUUAAAAAAGAUCUGUUCAUUGUAUUCCCUAAAUUUUACAUGCCUUUCUGAAUUUCCCAUCCUAUUUCUAUACGUGUUUCAAGUAUUCUGACUUUUUUCAGUUUGCUAUUUCUCCUGCAAUGUUUAAUACAUUAAUAAGUCUAGCUUUUUAAUUCUUAUAUUCAAUUAUUCUAUUUCCUUAGUUUGAAAAUGAUAAGUUGACUUAUAGAUCCCAGUCCUCCAAUAAGUCUACAUCUUUUAUUUUUUAACUUAAUAAUCAUUAUUAAAGUCCCUUAUUUAUAAAUAAUUAGACUACCUAGAUCACCUGUGGAUCUAUUUUGAUAGUCUGUAUUUUUAAUUUUGGUUUCCAUACAUUUUAUAGACAUGUCUGGUCAUUUUUAAUUAAUGACAUACAUGGUAUAUAAUAAUUGGGGAGUCCCUGAUUUAUACUCUUUCUCAAAAGAGGGCUAAUCUUCGUGCAUGCCUAGAGUAUUUUGGCAGAUCACCCUGAUCUAGUCAAAGGAAGGUAUGAAGCUUUCUUAAAGUUGGGCUUUCUUUGGUCAACUCUUACCUCUAAGGCAUAAACCUUGCUCUUAGGUUAUAUCCUUUCUGCGAUCUUAAUUGAAAGCUGAGUGCUCAUGGGGGUCAUUCAAUUUGUUCAUCUCUACACUUUUGCUUCAUUUUCCCUAUAACCAAGACUGUUGGAAUAUUUGUUCAAUUCUUUAGAUCUCAAAUAUGGCUUGCUAUUUGUUUUCUGGUGUCUUUUCCUGAACACCACACAGGAAGUGUGUGGUGGAAGGAGGUGUGGAGGAAGUGACCAAAGGCCUUCACGCAGUCUCUCACUUCCCUGCAGUUACUUUUUCCCUAAAAUUCAAUUGUUCUUGGAGGGUCCAAACGCCACCUUCUGUUUCCUCAGCACAAUGAGACUUUCGUGACCCCAGGCUUUCGACUUCUGCUCUGCCACCUCACCCAUGGCAUUGACAAAGCCCUGAGGAAAAUCUCAGAGAUAGAUAAAUAUAGGACUCACAUAAAUCUGCCUCCCUUGUUUCCAGAAUUUGUAGCCCCGUAGUUCUGUCUGCCAUGGUGGUUCCCUAAUGCUUUAAAAGAGUGGACUCACGUACUAAUCUUUUCUAUUUUUUAGGGGAGGGUUAGUCUCACACAAGCUGCCUUGUUAUAGAGGACAUUGGAAACCACUGGAUUAUAUGAAGAAAUUAAGGACUAGAAUCACUGGUGCAAGAUCACACUGGGGAAAAGUGACAGAACCAAAUUUCAAACUCCAGUCUUUCUGCUUCUAGAGAUUGAACUACUAACAUCUGCAUUAUAUAAAAUUAAGUCUCUCAAGGUAGUUUGUGAAACGUAACAUACAAAUAAGUGAUUAAAAUUUUUGGUGAUA